UAAAGUUGACAGAAUAUAUGUGAGUGAAUUAGGAUCAUUUUAUAAGAAUUUUUUUUCUUACUUUA
Molecule: transfer RNA, 65 nt
Filed under: Opisthoteuthis californiana
Lineage: Eukaryota; Metazoa; Mollusca; Cephalopoda; Octopoda; Opisthoteuthidae
Description: tRNA-Leu
Source: RNAcentral